GGAAAACCACAACUUUUUUCAUUUGAGGGGUCUCUACUUGAGAUUUUCUGUAAGUGAACCGUGUUAUCUAAAGUUUGCUUCAAAGUGUCUAAUUGCUGUAAACUCACAUGUAAGGUCACUUUGAGUGGGUGCACUUAGGAAAACAACCACCAUCAGUGUCUCCAUUCAAAGUGAUCUUGAUAUGAAACAUAGAACUCAAUUUGAUAGACAUAACAUGGAGGGUCAGGUAGAAUUUGUAGCAGUCGAUGAGUGUGUCUAUUUGAGAUCUUUAAGUGAAACAUUUAAUCUAAAGUGUCCUUCAACGUGUCUAAUUGUUGUAAACUCGUAUGCAAGGUCACUUUGAGUGGGUGCACUUAGGAAAACAACCACCAUCAGUGUCUCCAUUCAAAGUGAUCUUGAUAUGAAACAUAGAACUCAAUUUGAUAGACGUAACAUGCAGGCUCAGGUAGAAUUUGUAACAGUCGAUGAGUGUGUCUAUUUGAGAUCUUCUUUAAGUGAAAUAUAUAAUCUAAAGUUUGCUUCAAAGUGUCUAAUUGCUGUAAACUCAUAUGCAAGGUCACUUUGAGUGGGUGCACUUAGGAAUACAACCACCAUCAGUGUCUCCAUUCAAAGUGAUCUUGAUAUGAAACAUAGAACUCAAUUUGAUAGACCUAACAUGGAG
Long non-coding RNA from Astatotilapia calliptera (eastern happy), 661 nucleotides. The record is from Ensembl. Lineage: Eukaryota; Metazoa; Chordata; Actinopteri; Cichliformes; Cichlidae.